Arvicanthis niloticus (Nile rat) is the source of this 1733-nucleotide non-coding RNA. NCBI's taxonomy places the organism in Eukaryota, Metazoa, Chordata, Mammalia, Rodentia, Muridae. The record is from RefSeq and is a predicted model, not a curated record.
UACCAGGUGAGGGUUCUACCUGCGCAAGAGGUGAGCAGUGCUGGGCUGCCUCAGGGGCGGGCAGCGGCGUCCAGAUCCAGAAGAGGCGGGCAUCGCCACUCGGAGCCAGGCUCAGAGGCUGGGAAGGCGCCCUGCAGCUAAGAUCCCACGUGUUAGCAGCCGCGGUACCCCAAGUCACACCCCGUGAACAAGGCCACCCUCACGGAGGGCCAGGCCCCUGCAGCAGAGCAAACCGCAGCUCCGAAGACACCCUUUUCUUGCUUGGCCAUGCUCUGGCCUGGGUGGGUCUGAGGACUAAGUGGUUGGCCUUCUUCGAUCAAAUGAUUUGGCCUUUUUCCAAUGAUGAUAUUGGUGGACAUCAGGAGACCAUGAGGGACUCUUGAGAGAAACCCCUAACAGACUUAGAGGUACUAAGAUUUCCGCUGUGCAGCACUCCCCUCUGCAUCCUAGAAACUAGUCAGAUUUCUGAGAAUAAAGUCUGGCAAGAGACAUUGGGUAGCUGUAAUACACGCAGUGAGAAGAUGCACAGAACCUAAGAACACCUACUCCAAAACUUCAGUACAGAAAUAGGUUAAUCUGAGGAGAUGAGCAUGUCAGAGAACUAUCUGUCGAAGACGAAGAAUCUGCCCCUCCCUGAGAAGAUGACCAGCUCCAGAACUCUAGAGACAUGAAGUUUGAGUUUUCGUGCCCGCAGUCUGCUUCCACAGCUGGUUGGUGUACACUAUUAUGUAUUAUGGGAGUCAAACACAAAUUCUGUGGAGAAUCUUCAACAGAAAGGCUUUCAAGAGUCUGAAGAGAUGACUCAGAAACUAAGAGCACCCCUGGCUCUUGUAAGUUCAGUCCCCAGCACCCACCGGGUGGAGAGCCAGUGACCUCCUUCACCUCCAGCAGUACCUGGCAGGCACGUGCUGCACAAACAUCUUUACAGGCAAAACACUUAAUACAUGAAAUAAAAAUCUCUAAAACGAGAGAAAGAGAAAAGACUUCAGGAUUUACCACAGUGGGUUUCCUAGUGGCUAAUUUUGGAAGAAAUGGCCAGUCAGUAGGUGGAAGUUGAGUUUAUAUUAUAAAUCUUCAAGAAGUUCACACAGAUAUUGAAACAGAUUGCUGUCAAAAAUCGGGAGAAGUGAUUUGCCAUUUUUCCAAAAACCACAAAUCACGGUGACUCUUUAAAGUUUUUCACAAACAUUGAAAGUGGGGGGAAAAAAAAUUAUCUUUGAAAUCCCAAGACAAAUGGCCAGACAGGACUCCUCUGUGAAGUUGUGCAAGGAGCCUCAGGGGAAAAAGGUCUCUUGUGACUGAAGAAAGAGGGAGAGAAAAGGAAUAGGGAGGGUUGUCAUCCCGUACACCACUGUCAGAGAAUCGUCAAGUCAAGCUUAUACCUGAUAGAACAGAACUAGCACCUCCAGCGUUCUCUGCUGAGACAACUUGCCAAAAUAUCCAGUUCAAAGACUCUUUAGUCUCCUUUGACUGUAACACUAACGACAUUUUUAGAUGGAAGUCACCAGUAGUCACUUGGAGUCUUCAGAGAGACCACACAGAGAAAUCCCGUGAGUGGUGAUUCGGAGGGGAUGCUUAUCACCAACCCAGAUGGUCAUCUCUUCAAGAAAAUCCCCACUUCAGAGCAACUAUACACUCGCGAUCGGUGUGGUGUGGACUCACUUCAUUCAGAACUAAUGCGUCAUCAGAGACACCACCUGAAAGAAAAGGCCUGCCUGUGUGAGCAUUGUGGG